GAUGAAGAACGUAGCGAAAUGCGAUAAGUAAUGUGAAUUGCAGAAUUCAGUGAACCAUCGAAUCUUUGAACGCACAUUGCGCCCGCCAGCACUCUGGCGGGCAUGCCUGUCCGAGCGUCAUCUCAACCCUCGACCGCCCCCCCGGGGGCGUCGGCGUUGGGGGACGGCCCCCGCCCCUCGACCGGGCGGCGGCCGCCCCCGAAAUGCAGUGGCGACCCCGCCGCGCCCUCCCCUGCGCAGUAGACGAUCAACCGUACACCUCGCACCGGAGCGCGGCCCGGCCCCGCCGUGAAAGCCCCCACUUCCGAAAAGGUUGACCUCGGAUCAGGUAGGAGUACCCGCUGAACUUAAGCAUAUCAAUAAGCGGAGGA
Molecule: unclassified non-coding RNA, 371 nt
Filed under: soil metagenome
Description: partial contains 5.8S ribosomal RNA, internal transcribed spacer 2, and large subunit ribosomal RNA
Rfam family: 5.8S ribosomal RNA (bases 1-120)
Source: RNAcentral